This 598-nucleotide long non-coding RNA is filed under the name Mytilus galloprovincialis (Mediterranean mussel). The record is from RNAcentral. Lineage: Eukaryota; Metazoa; Mollusca; Bivalvia; Mytilida; Mytilidae.
AAGAAAAAAAUACGGUAAUUUGCCAAUAAAUAGGUAAAAUAUUUCAGAUGACUGGGGUUGUUCAUUUAACCAAGAUUCUAAAGUUGAGAAAGGGCUAUAUUACUAGAGGAUAAUAGAUCAACCGUUUAUUUUCAAACUUGUAAAGCGUAGAACUGCGAUUUGCUAUUCAUCUGCAAUACGGUUUAUUUGUGCUGAAAUUGAAGGGGUCAGUAAAAUGGUUGUACCUGAGGAGUUACACCUCGAUAUUAUACAAAGCUUGUAAACAUAUCAGAUGAAUAUAAUUAUUUUUCACGCAAUCAUUCUCUUUCUUGAUUUAAUUACUCCGUUGUAAACAAUAAACUUUUUCAUUAAAAUCUUUUAACUUAUUAUCACACCACCUCCCCUCCCCCCCAAAACACAAAAAAAACCCAACAACAUUAAAAAAAACAACAUAAAAACUAUGUUAUUUAAGCAACAUGAAUUGCUUCCUCCCUUCCCUCUUUUCUGAAAUUUAAAAGGGUGACCAACGCAUUAUAUAAUAUACUAUUAAUAGGCACUAUUUUCUCAACCAAAUACCUAUUUUGUAUUGUUUAUUUUUGCUUGCGUAACUACCAGUAGG